GACGAACGCUGGCGGCGUGCUUAACACAUGCAAGUCGAACGGAAAGUCCCUGCUUUUGUGGGGUGCUCGAGUGGCGAACGGGUAAGUAACACUUGAGUAACCUGCCCUUGACUUUGGGAUAACUUCAGGAAACUGGGGCUAAUACCGGAUAGGAUCUCCUGCUGCAUGGUGGGGGUUGGAAAGUUUCGGCGGUUGGGGAUGGACUCGCGGCGUAUCAGAUUGUUGGUGGGGUAGUGGCUUACCAAGGCUUGGACGGGUAGCCGGCCUGAGAGGGUCACCGGCCACAUUGGGACUGAGAUACGGCACAGACCACUACGGGAGGCAGCGGUGGGGAAUAUUGCACAAUGGGAGGAAGCAUGAUGCAGCAACGCAGCGUGCGGGAUGACGGCAUUCGGGUUGUAUACCGAUUUCGCCUGUGACGAAGCGUGAGUGACGGUAAUGGGUGAAGAAGCACCGGCUAACUACGUG
RNAcentral lists this ribosomal RNA (468 nucleotides) under uncultured bacterium. Its description in RNAcentral is "partial 16S ribosomal RNA". It matches the Rfam family "Bacterial small subunit ribosomal RNA", at positions 28 to 507 of the family's 1533-position model. The record is from RNAcentral.